AAAUGUGAGUUCAGGAAACGAAACUGUCAACAGCUCAUUAAUACGCUCAGGACUUACGCGGUAAAACUCGGAAUAGAGUCGAAAGGGAUAGCGGUAGCAAUUCUAGCGCUAAUACCAACUUUAACGAGGGAAAGACUGUAAUUGAAAGAAAAGUCAGUAGAAGACCAGGUUUGGCGAGCCGCAAAGUUGGGCGCUCUAUCAGCUAGUAGGUAGGGUCUUUGCCUACCCAGGCGAUCACGGAUAACGGGUGGUUAUCGUCAGACUGCCGGAGAUUGUGCCUCAGAGAUAGCAAAAAUUCCCACGGGAAGCAGCAGGCGCGAAACUUACCCACUCGUCACAGACGGAGGUGGUAACGGCCAAUCCCAGUAUGUCGCAAGACUGCGGGGAAGACUCACACAAAGCGAGUGUGGGGAAAGCAAGGAGAGGGCCAGUUCUGGUGCCAGCAGCUGCGGUAAUUCCAGCUCUUCAAAGCUACCCCCAGUGUUACACUUAAAACGCCCGUAGUCAGAGUUAGUAGCAUGCAAAUGCGCUCACGGUGAAUAAAUCAGGAUGCUUAGAGUAGUUCACAACUGAAUGACUGAGCACCGCCUGAGGUUUUUACCCAUCAGGGUAAGAUCAAAGAGAGCCAGCGAGGCUAGGUCUAUUCAAUGGCGAGCGGCGGAAUGUGUUGACCCAUUGGAGAGAAGCGAACGCGAAGGCACCUAGCAAGAGGGUUUCUGUCGAUCAAGGGCGAGAGCCGCAGGAUCGAACCCGAUUAGACACCGGGGUAGUUGCGACCUUAAACGAUGCCAACAGCGCCGGAUCUGAAGAAGGUCGGGCGACAGGGGAAACCUCUAGUCUUUGGGCUGUGGGGGAACUACGACCGCAAGGCUGAAACUUGAAGGAAUUGACGGAAGGGUGCACAAGAUGUGGAGACUGUGGCCCAAUUUGACUCAACACGGGGAAACUUUCCCGAACCUGAGAGUCUUAAUGACUGACCAGCUGAAGACUGUUCAGGAUAUGCUUUUUGGUGGUGCAUGGCCGUUGGUGGUGCGUGAAAUGAUUUGUCUAAAGUCGAUUCAGCUAACGAGCGAGACUACCACCGUUUAUCGCGAGUCUUAACUGAAAGGUUAAAACAGGCACUAAACGGGACUCCCGGCGUCGAAGCCGGCGGAAGAGGGUAGCAAUAACAGGUCCGUGAUGUCCUUUAGAUGCUCGGGGCUGCACGCGUUCUACACUGCUAGGCAGAAAGAGUAGCAAAGUUGAGAAACUGAGCAACACUCUGAAAGCCUAGCGUGGUUGGGAUUGACGCUUGACAUUAGCGUCAUGAACUAGGAAUAUCUUGUAAGCGUGUGUCAACAUCGCACGCUGAAUAUGUCCCCACCCUUUGUACACACCGCCCGUCGCUCCUACCGAUUGGGUGAGCCGGUGAACGCGCUGGAGAUUCGUCAAAGGCGUGUGAACCUGCUGAUUUA
This 1454-nucleotide ribosomal RNA is filed under the name Cononympha sp. 2 NCoots-2020. Its description in RNAcentral is "SSU rRNA". It matches the Rfam family "Eukaryotic small subunit ribosomal RNA". Lineage: Eukaryota; Parabasalia; Holomastigotoidida; Holomastigotoididae. The record is from RNAcentral.